Danio rerio (zebrafish) is the source of this 115-nucleotide ribosomal RNA. The record is from Ensembl. NCBI's taxonomy places the organism in Eukaryota, Metazoa, Chordata, Actinopteri, Cypriniformes, Danionidae.
UAAGGUAGCUUGUACUCUGCAACUCUCACAUGGUCGCCCACUGAAGCUAAGCAGGGCUGCGCCCGGUCAGUACCUGGAUGGGAGACCACUUGGGAAAGCUGGGUUGCUGCCGGAA